GAAACGGUUGCUAAGACUAGAUACGAAACAAAAAGGCAUCUUUUUGUUUUUAAAAGACCUUCUUAUGAAGGUAUGCUUAAAGAGGGGCUCUCGCCACAUUAGUUAAUUGGUAGGGUAAAAGCCUACCAAGACGAUGAUGUGUAGCUGGACUGAGAGGUUGAACAACCACAUUGGGACUGAGACUCGGCCCAAACUCCUACGGGAGGCAGCAGUAGGUAAUUUUCGGCAAUGGAGGAAACUCUGACCGAGCAACGCCGCGUGAACGAUGAAGUAUUUCGGUAUGUAAAGUUCUUUUAUUGAAGAAGAAAAAGUAGUGGAAAAACUAUAUUCACGUUAUUCAAUGAAUAAGCCCCGGCUAACUAUGUGCCAGCAGCCGCGGUAAGACAUAAGGGGCUAGCGUUAUCCGGAAUUAUUGGGCGUAAAGGGUGCGUAGGCUGUUAGAUAAGUCUAUAAUUUAAUUUCAGUGCUUAACGCUGUCUUGUUAUACAACCUGUCUUGACUAGGGUGAGAUAGAGGCAAGCGGAAUUCCAUGUGUAGCGGUAAAAUGUGUAAAUAUAUGGAGGAACACCAGAAGCGUAGGCGGCCUGCUGGGUCUUUACUGACGCUAAGGCACGAAAGCGUGGGUAGCAAACAGGAUUAGAUACCCUGGUAGUCCACGCCGUAAACGAUGAGUACUAAGUGUCGGGGUAAAACUCGGUACUGAAGUUAACACAUUAAGUACUCCGCCUGAGUAGUACGUACGCAAGUAUGAAACUUAAAGGAAUUGACGGGACUCCGCACAAGCGGUGGAUCAUGUUGUUUAAUCCGAAGA
Molecule: ribosomal RNA, 811 nt
Filed under: 'Cucumis sativus' phytoplasma
Lineage: Bacteria; Bacillati; Mycoplasmatota; Mollicutes; Acholeplasmatales; Acholeplasmataceae
Description: bacterial SSU rRNA
Rfam family: Bacterial small subunit ribosomal RNA
Source: RNAcentral